Molecule: transfer RNA, 82 nt
Filed under: Paracoccaceae bacterium
Lineage: Bacteria; Pseudomonadati; Pseudomonadota; Alphaproteobacteria; Rhodobacterales; Paracoccaceae
Description: Rhodobacteraceae bacterium (freshwater metagenome) tRNA-Leu
Rfam family: tRNA
About the family: Transfer RNA (tRNA) molecules are approximately 80 nucleotides in length. Their secondary structure includes four short double-helical elements and three loops (D, anti-codon, and T loops). Further hydrogen bonds mediate the characteristic L-shaped molecular structure. tRNAs have two regions of fundamental functional importance: the anti-codon, which is responsible for specific mRNA codon recognition, and the 3' end, to which the tRNAs corresponding amino acid is attached (by aminoacyl-tRNA synthetases). tRNAs cope with the degeneracy of the genetic code in two manners: having more than one tRNA (with a specific anti-codon) for a particular amino acid; and 'wobble' base-pairing, i.e. permitting non-standard base-pairing at the 3rd anti-codon position.
Source: RNAcentral
GCCCUCGUGGUGGAAUGGUAGACACAAGAGACUUAAAAUCUCUCGGCUGUAAGGCCGUGCCGGUUCGAGUCCGGCCGAGGGC